This 450-nucleotide ribosomal RNA is filed under the name uncultured Anaerolineaceae bacterium. RNAcentral's name for it is "bacterial SSU rRNA". It matches the Rfam family "Bacterial small subunit ribosomal RNA", at positions 920 to 1378 of the family's 1533-position model. Lineage: Bacteria; Bacillati; Chloroflexota; Anaerolineae; Anaerolineales; Anaerolineaceae. The record is from RNAcentral.
CCCCGCACAAGCAGCGGAGCGUGUGGUUUAAUUCGAUGAUACACGAAGAACCUUACCCAGGCUUGACAUGUAGGUGGUAGGGAUCCGAAAGGUGACCGACCCUUCGGGGAGCCUGCACAGGUGCUGCAUGGCUGUCGUCAGCUCGUGUCGUGAGAUGUCCGGUUAAGUCCGGUAACGAGCGCAACCCUCGCUGUAUGUUAUAUGUGUCAUACGGGACUGCCGGUAUCAAGCCGGAGGAAGGUGGGGAUGACGUCAAGUCAGCAUGGCCUUUAUGUCUGGGGCUACACACACGCUACAAUGGCCAGUACAAUAGGUUGCAAAACCGCGAGGUGGAGCCAAUCCUAAAAGCUGGUCUCAGUUCGGAUUGCAGGCUGCAACUCGCCUGCAUGAAGUCGGAGUUGCUAGUAACCGCGCGUCGGCUAUAGUGCGGUGAAUACGUUCCCGGGCCUU